AGUGAACGCUGGCGGUAGGCCUAACACAUGCAAGUCGAACGGCAGCACAGUAAGAGCUUGCUCUUACGGGUGGCGAGUGGCGGACGGGUGAGGAAUACAUCGGAAUCUACUUUUUCGUGGGGGAUCACGUAGGGAAACUUAAGCUAAUACCGCAUACGACCUACGGGUGAAAGCAGGGGAUAUUCGGACCUUGCGCGAUUGAAUGAGCCGAUGUCGGAUUAGCUAGUUGGGGGGGUAAAGGCCCACCAAGGCGACGAUCCGUAGCUGGUCUGAGAGGAGGGUAGGCCACACUGGAACUGAGACACGGUCCAGACUCCUACGGGAGGCAGCAGUGGGGAAUAUUGGGCAAUGGGCGCAAGCCUGAUCCAGCCAUACCGCGUGGGUGAAGAAGGCCUUCGGGUUGUAAAGCCCUUUUGUUGGGAAAGAAAAGCAGCAGCUUAAUACCCCGCUGUUCUGACGGUACCCAAAGAAUAAGCACCGGCUAACUUCGUG
Molecule: ribosomal RNA, 492 nt
Filed under: uncultured bacterium
Lineage: Bacteria
Description: partial 16S ribosomal RNA
Rfam family: Bacterial small subunit ribosomal RNA
Source: RNAcentral